This 21-nucleotide small nuclear RNA is filed under the name Arabidopsis thaliana (thale cress). RNAcentral describes it as "snRNA_07735". Lineage: Eukaryota; Viridiplantae; Streptophyta; Magnoliopsida; Brassicales; Brassicaceae. The record is from RNAcentral.
UAUCUUUAGGGUAUGCCGCUA